UACGUAGGGGGCAAGCGUUGUCCGGAUUUAUUGGGCGUAAAGAGCGUGUAGGCGGCCAGGUAGGUCUGCUGUGAAAACUCGAGGCUCAACCUCGAGACGUCGGCGGAAACCAUCUGGCUAGAGUCCGGAAGAGGAGAGUGGAAUUCCUGGUGUAGCGGUGAAAUGCGCAGAUAUCAGGAAGAACACCCGUGGCGAAGGCGGCUCUCUGGACCGAUAUUGACGCUGAGGAGCGAAAGCCAGGGGAGCAAACGGG
RNAcentral lists this ribosomal RNA (253 nucleotides) under uncultured bacterium. Its description in RNAcentral is "partial 16S ribosomal RNA". It matches the Rfam family "Bacterial small subunit ribosomal RNA", at positions 524 to 776 of the family's 1533-position model. The record is from RNAcentral.